AGAGUUUGAUCCUGGCUCAGGACGAACGCUGGCGGCGUGCCUAACACAUGCAAGUCGAGCGGGGAUGAGCUGGUCAGCUUGCUGAUUGGCUUAUCCUAGCGGCGGACGGGUGAGUAACGCGUGAGCAACCAACCUUGUACUGGGGGAUAACAGCUGGAAACAGCUGCUAAUACCGCAUAAGACUACGGCACCGCAUGGUGCUGUAGUAAAAGGUGUCGGAAGGCGCCGNUACAAGACGGGCUCGCGUCCCAUUAGCUAGUUGGUGGGGUAACGGCCUACCAAGGCGACGAUGGGUAGCCGGCCUGAGAGGGUGUACGGCCACACUGGGACUGAGACACGGCCCAGACUCCUACGGGAGGCAGC
This 363-nucleotide ribosomal RNA is filed under the name uncultured bacterium. RNAcentral's name for it is "bacterial SSU rRNA". It matches the Rfam family "Bacterial small subunit ribosomal RNA", at positions 8 to 352 of the family's 1533-position model. The record is from RNAcentral.